RNAcentral lists this ribosomal RNA (607 nucleotides) under Sphingobacteriaceae bacterium. RNAcentral's name for it is "bacterial SSU rRNA". It matches the Rfam family "Bacterial small subunit ribosomal RNA", at positions 241 to 848 of the family's 1533-position model. Lineage: Bacteria; Pseudomonadati; Bacteroidota; Sphingobacteriia; Sphingobacteriales; Sphingobacteriaceae. The record is from RNAcentral.
UUAGCUAGUUGGUAAGGUAACGGCUUACCAAGGCUACGAUGUUUAGGGGAUCUGAGAGGAUGGCCCCCCACACUGGUACUGAGACACGGACCAGACUCCUACGGGAGGCAGCAGUAAGGAAUAUUGGUCAAUGGGCGCAAGCCUGAACCAGCCAUGCCGCGUGCAGGAAGACGGCCCUAUGGGUUGUAAACUGCUUUUGUACCGGAAUAAACCCUUUUACGUGUAAGAGGCUGAAUGUACGGUAAGAAUAAGGAUCGGCUAACUCCGUGCCAGCAGCCGCGGUAAUACGGAGGAUCCAAGCGUUAUCCGGAUUUAUUGGGUUUAAAGGGUGCGUAGGCGGCCUAUUAAGUCAGGGGUGAAAGACGGUAGCUUAACUAUCGCAGUGCCUUUGAUACUGAUGGGCUUGAAUCCACUUGAGGUAGGCGGAAUGUGACAAGUAGCGGUGAAAUGCAUAGAUAUGUCACAGAACACCAAUUGCGAAGGCAGCUUACUAAAGUGGUAUUGACGCUGAGGCACGAAAGCGUGGGGAUCAAACAGGAUUAGAUACCCUGGUAGUCCACGCCCUAAACGAUGAACACUCGAUGUUGGCGAUAUACGGUCAGCGUCU